CCUAUUUUCUAGAUUACAACUAGAACUAACUAGAACUAGAACUAGAGGAACUAGAACUAGAACUAGAUGAACUAGAACUAGAUCUAGAUGAACUAGAGGUAGAACUAGAGGGAUCCUCUCUACUUGGAUGAAGAAUUGAAACCCUAGCUUUGAUUCUGUAGAAGAGGUAUGAUCUCCAAGGGCUAGGGGACCUUGCUUAUAUAGUCUUUUCAGAUGAAUCUGGGCCGUCGGAUCAAACCAACAUUGAUCGUGUGGUUUUCCUUAAAGUAUUAGGUCGGGGGAGCAUGAUCCCCGAGCUUCACCCUGAAUGGUCCAGGGGGGAGGGCGGGUGCCCAGUAAGGGAGGGCGGGCGCCCAGUGCCCGGCCCCGUCACGUCUCCCGUUCGCUCCCGUGGCUUCUGGAGUCUUCUAGAUGAUAGAAAAUUGCGCGGCACGUUAAUAUCUCUAUGUAAACCCGACGUGUGGGCCUUUCUUCCGUAUUUCCUGAUAACCCCCUGCAGAAAUAGACAAACACCAAAACUCAUGGAAUUCUGUCAGAUAAAACCCUAAGUCUGGGUGUUGGUUGCAUAUGGAUCCUUUUCCAUGAUUAGUUGAUGGUUAAAUGUGAGCAUUAAGGACCGUCAACAAGCUCCCCCAAGCUUAACCUUUGCUCGUCCCACAGCAAAGAUGAACUCAAGAGUGUCUGCAGUGGUUUCAUGCCUUAAAGAUAUACAUGCGUUCAAACAAGAUCUCAUCUCUAGGUUAGGGUAACUGUUAAGAUUUAAACUUACUCAUAUUACCUUCCACCAUGGGUCUUGCAACCGUCACUUGUGUCUUGAGUAGUUAAAAGAUAGAACGGUCUAGUCAAGCACCAUGUCUCUUGUUCUUCGAUUAACUAUAGCUCUAGAGUUUUUGCAGAUUUUCAAAUAAAACUCAGAGAUUCCUUGUAUGACUCUCUCUAGUCUCUCUUUUGUGGUAUUUCUGGAUCCUUACCAAGGCAGUAAUGGUGUAUGCCUUCUCUCAAAGUAUGUGGUAUUUUUGGUAUAAGGCAUAGUGACAUUGCCUUCUAGCUCACCCUACUCUAAUAAGGUUUUGAUAUCUGGAGCUCAUAGGUGGAAGACAGCUAAUACAUAGUUACAAGACAUUUAUUGCAUAGUCAAACCAUGGAUCCAGAGAAACUAGUCAAUAAUUCAAAUCAAGAUGUGCAUGUCUGGCGAAUGAAUGGUGUAUGGUGGUGAAAAUAAUGGUGAAAGUCUAAUUCUACUUUUGCUCUUUUAAGAGAAUACAUACCUUCCUUGCUCUUUUGAAACUUUUGGGGAUAAUGAGAUGCUUUGUAUUUUCUUUUUCUUACCUCUCAGGUGGGUAUCUUGUACCUCUAAUUCUACUAUCGGACACUUGUCCAUUUUUACCUCUUGUCUCACUUUUUCUUUUCUUUCGAGGUUCCGGGCACUUGCCCCUUUUUAUUUCCUCGUAUCUUUUUUUUUCUUUUUUUAGCACUCAUCUCAUGAGAUAAUAUAGCAAGUGGUAGUAACAAGAUAACUUGAGCAUUUAUUUUACAAGAGAAAACAGAAAUAUUUUUGGCUAUUCUCUCCCUGAUUAGGAGUAGAAUAUUUUUGGGUGGUUCUGGAGAUGGAAAUAGAUGGAUAUAUGUGGAUGCGUACUUCCGGAGUAGAAGCAGCAUGUAUGAGUGAACGUGCAAGUCAAUCUUGAUUUUAACCACGUGACAAGCUCCUAAGGGUCUACACAGCUUGACCACACUCAAUGCUCAUAAGCAGUAAAGUAAAUGUAUGGUUUAUAGUCUAACAAGCAUGUAUAUAUGACUGUGGUAGGAUUUUAAACUCUCAUCAUACAGGAACUCAUCAUGCAACAUUUUAAAGAUUUUCAAAGAUAAAUAGCAGCUCAACCUUCCCAUAUCAUAUCCGUUAACGACUUAGACUUUAGAUCAAGUACUCUCCCCACAAGUUCAGGUUUAGAGCAAAUUUUAAUUAAUAUCAGUCAUGCCUAAACUUGAGAGAGAUUUCAAUUUUGAGAACUAGUCACGGCAGAGCAACUGUAACACCCUAAAUUUUGCUUCUUUGAAAAUAGAGCUAAAAUAAUUUAUUUUUUAUUUCUGUGCUCAUGAAAAUAUAGUAAAAUGAAAUUUUUACUUAAACUAAAAUUCAUCAUAGGGUUUAGCUACAUUGUUGUGCAUACAUGCUGGUACAUAUGUUUUAUGUAAUGUUUGAUUGUUACUCCUUUAUGUGUUGAGAGUGAGCAAAGUUUUUGAAAUGUGUUUAGUAGAUCGAUCUUCCUUGGUCAGUACAUCUUUACCUUUAUCUACAACCAAAUUCCUUGUUUCUAAGCUCAAGUUUUUAUUAGGAGCUUCCUAAAAUCUUUUCUUUAUCACUCAAAGCACUUCUUUUAGUUCCUCGUCCAUCAAGAAAUCUCUACAAACUUUUCGAGAAUGUUCUCACUUUUCUGUGAGCAUAAUCUAAUUUUUAGAUGCUCCAUAUUAUCUCAUCAUGAGCUCCAAAUACUUUAUUUGGGUUCCCCAUAUUCCAUAAUGUCUCUGAGAAUUUUCCUCGAAUUUUUGGAGCUUUCGGAGUAUUUUUCGUGGCUUAAAUAAUAAUUCUGGAUUUUUCUAGAAUUAUUUUAUCCAUGAAAUUAAUGAAUUCUGAAAAUAAUAAAUCUCUCAUUUGUCUCUAACGCUCAAGGCCCAUGUCUUUAUUUACUAAUGGGCUUGAAUAAUUAAUUAGGCCUAUUAGUAAAGAUAAAGGUUGCAAAUCAAAUAGUACCAUAUCGCUAGUUGACGUGGAGGUAGGGAGUUUUUCUCCCAAUAUAUAUGUACCAAACCCUUGGAUUAAGUACAUCAAAACUACUAUAAGAGGAGCCCCUAGCUUGGGAAUCCUAAAGUAGUAAAUAAUAUUUUUUUCUCAUCUCCUUGCCACGUUGCUGCCGGCCAACUCCUUCGUUUGUUGAUUCAUCACUAUGGUUGUUAGCCCUUAGUCGAAGAUGAGCACACUGUUCCAUUCUUGCUCAAUAUCUUAUCUACAUUUGCAUGCAUCUCUUCCAUAUUAGAAAUCAUGUCAUCCUCGUGCUCUGGCAGUGAGCUAGCUUCAGGUUGCCAGUGUUGUAAUUUCGCAAGUCGCCGCCGCCGCCGCAGAGAACUAGUCGCUGAGUUGUGCCUCCAACUUGAUAUCACCGUCUCGCUGUCGCGUCGCCUCCGAAGCACCGCCGUCAUCUUGAGUCGCCAUCCCGCUCGAGUCGGAUCUCCCAAACGACGGAGCAUGUAUGCCUGCAACCACCACGGACAUCGUAUGUUGCCCUGUC
Molecule: long non-coding RNA, 3287 nt
Filed under: Sorghum bicolor (sorghum)
Lineage: Eukaryota; Viridiplantae; Streptophyta; Magnoliopsida; Poales; Poaceae
Description: long non-coding RNA (SBIC_LNC001056)
Source: RNAcentral